UACGUAGGUGGCAAGCGUUGUCCGGAAUUAUUGGGCGUAAAGCGCGCGCAGGCGGUUCCUUAAGUCUGAUGUGAAAGCCCACGGCUCAACCGUGGAGGGUCAUUGGAAACUGGGGGACUUGAGUGCAGAAGAGGAGAGCGGAAUUCCACGUGUAGCGGUGAAAUGCGUAGAUAUAGGAAGGAACACCAGUGGCGAAGGCGACCACCUGGACUAAUACUGACACUGAGGUGCGAAAGCGUGGGGAGCAAACAGG
This 253-nucleotide ribosomal RNA is filed under the name uncultured bacterium. Its description in RNAcentral is "partial 16S ribosomal RNA". It matches the Rfam family "Bacterial small subunit ribosomal RNA", at positions 524 to 776 of the family's 1533-position model. The record is from RNAcentral.